RNAcentral lists this unclassified non-coding RNA (250 nucleotides) under plant metagenome. RNAcentral describes it as "partial contains small subunit ribosomal RNA, internal transcribed spacer 1, and 5.8S ribosomal RNA". The stretch from base 196 to 250 matches the Rfam family "5.8S ribosomal RNA", at positions 1 to 54 of the family's 154-position model. The record is from RNAcentral.
GUAGGUGAACCUGCGGAAGGAUCAUUACCGAGCUCGCGCCCCCCGGGGCCGACCUCCCACCCUUUGUCUACCGUACACGUGUUGCUUUGGCGGGCCGCCCUCGUGGCCACCGGCCCUCCGCUGGUGAGCGCCCGCCGGAGACCCAAACCCAGUCUGCUGUCCAUGGCAUUGUCUGACCAAACCUGAAAUCGUUAAAACUUUCAACAACGGAUCUCUUGGCUCUAGCAUCGAUGAAGAACGCAGCAUCUGA